RNAcentral lists this long non-coding RNA (310 nucleotides) under Malus domestica (apple). Its description in RNAcentral is "long non-coding RNA (MDOM_LNC015697)". The record is from RNAcentral. Lineage: Eukaryota; Viridiplantae; Streptophyta; Magnoliopsida; Rosales; Rosaceae.
CUCCCGUAAAUUAGGUACUGCUGCCACUUUUUUUCUUUCUUUCUGGUUAUAUGUUAUAUGUUUUGAACAAACAACUAAUUGAACUUGCUUCAAUUGUUUGAUAAACACAUUACUCGUGUGCAUGUUUUAAGUGUUGUCUCGUUACAAGAUUCGAAAGUACCUUCUUAUACUAUACUAUCUAGCAGCAUACACAUUGUCAAGACUAUCUAAACUACUAAGUAUGUUGAUUCUUAUUUGAAUAUAUGAUCUAAAUUUGCAAUAUGAUAGUAUAACUGCAUAACUAGUCUAAACGUCUAGAACAUGAGUUGUA